GAUGAACGCUGGCGGCGUGCCUAAUACAUGCAAGUCGAGCGAACAGACGAGGAGCUUGCUCCUCUGACGUUAGCGGCGGACGGGUGAGUAACACGUGGAUAACCUACCUAUAAGACUGGGAUAACUUCGGGAAACCGGAGCUAAUACCGGAUAAUAUAUUGAACCGCAUGGUUCAAUAGUGAAAGACGGUCUUGCUGUCACUUAUAGAUGGAUCCGCGCCGCAUUAGCUAGUUGGUAAGGUAACGGCUUACCAAGGCAACGAUGCGUAGCCGACCUGAGAGGGUGAUCGGCCACACUGGAACUGAGACACGGUCCAGACUCCCACGGGAGGCAGCAGUAGGGAAUCUUCCGCAAUGGGCGAAAGCCUGACGGAGCAACGCCGCGUGAGUGAUGAAGGUCUUCGGAUCGUAAAACUCUGUUAUUAGGGAAGAACAAAUGUGUAAGUAACUAUGCACGUCUUGACGGUACCUAAUCAGAAAGCCACGGCUAACUACGUG
Molecule: ribosomal RNA, 497 nt
Filed under: uncultured bacterium
Lineage: Bacteria
Description: partial 16S ribosomal RNA
Rfam family: Bacterial small subunit ribosomal RNA
Source: RNAcentral